UACGAAGGGGGCUAGCGUUGCUCGGAAUGACUGGGCGUAAAGGGCGCGUAGGCGGUUCAUACAGUCAGAUGUGAAAUUCCUGGGCUCAACCUGGGGGCUGCAUUUGAUACGUGUGGACUAGAGUGGGGAAGAGGGUCGUGGAAUUCCCAGUGUAGAGGUGAAAUUCGUAGAUAUUGGGAAGAACACCGGGUGGCGAAGGCGGCGACCUGGUCCUUGACUGACGCUGAGGCGCGAAAGCGUGGGGAGCAAACAGG
This 254-nucleotide ribosomal RNA is filed under the name uncultured bacterium. RNAcentral describes it as "partial 16S ribosomal RNA". It matches the Rfam family "Bacterial small subunit ribosomal RNA", at positions 524 to 776 of the family's 1533-position model. The record is from RNAcentral.